GGGAUAUUGGACAAUGGGGGGAACCCUGAUCCAGCGACGCCGCGUGAGUGAAGAAGUAUCUCGGUAUGUAAAGCUCUAUCAGCAGGGAAGAAGAAAUGACGGUACCUGAGUAAGAAGCCCCGGCUCACUACGUGCCAGCAGCCGCGGUAAUACGUAGGGGGCAAGCGUUCUCCGGAAUUACUGGGUGUAAAGGGAGCGUAGACGGUGGUGGAAGUCUGGAGUGAAAGGCGGGGGCCCAACCCCCGGACUGCUCUGGAAACUAUGUGACUGGAGUGCAGGAGAGGUGAGCGGAAUUCCUAGUGUAGCGGUGAAAUGCGUAGAUAUUAGGAGGAACACCAGUGGCGAAGGCGGCUCACUGGACUGUAACUGACGUUGAGGCUCGAAAGCGUGGGGAGCAAAC
This 400-nucleotide ribosomal RNA is filed under the name uncultured bacterium. RNAcentral describes it as "bacterial SSU rRNA". It matches the Rfam family "Bacterial small subunit ribosomal RNA", at positions 358 to 773 of the family's 1533-position model. The record is from RNAcentral.